UUGGAGGGCAAGUCUGGUGCCAGCAGCCGCGGUAAUUCCAGCUCCAAUAGCGUAUAUUAAAGUUGUUGCAGUUAAAAAGCUCGUAGUUGAAUUUCGGGGUUAGUAGGUUGGUCAUGCCUCCGGUAUGUACUGGUCUCACUGAUUCCUCCUUCCUGAUGAGCCGUAAUGCCAUUAAUUUGGUGUUGCGGGGAAUUUGGACUGUUACUUUGAAAAAAUUAGAGUGUUUAAAGCAAGCUAACGCUUGAAUACAUUAGCAUGGAAUAAUGAAAUAGGACGUUCGAUCCUAUUUUGUUGGUUUCUAGGAUUGACGUAAUGAUUAAUAGGGAUAGUUGGGGGCAUUAGUAUUCAAUUGUCAGAGGUGAAAUUCUUGGAUUUAUUGAAGACUAACUACUGCGAAAGCAUUUGCCAAGGAUGUUUUCAUUAAUUAAGAACGAAAGUUAGGGGAUCGAAGACGAUCAGAUACCGUCGUAGUCUUAACCAUAAACUAUGCCGACUAGGGAUCGGAUGAUGUUAAUUUUUUAAUGACUCAUUCGGCGCCUUACGGGAAACCAAAGUGUUUGGGUUC
RNAcentral lists this ribosomal RNA (565 nucleotides) under uncultured Glomeromycotina. RNAcentral describes it as "SSU rRNA". It matches the Rfam family "Eukaryotic small subunit ribosomal RNA", at positions 548 to 1114 of the family's 1831-position model. Lineage: Eukaryota; Fungi; Glomeromycota. The record is from RNAcentral.